Molecule: long non-coding RNA, 650 nt
Organism: Parambassis ranga (Indian glassy fish)
Lineage: Eukaryota; Metazoa; Chordata; Actinopteri; Ambassidae
Source: Ensembl
GACAACAGUGACAUGUUGACUUGACUGUAGUAGUAGUAGCCACUACUACAACAGUCAAGUGUUUACAAAGCUUAUAGCUGUGCUCCUAAAGCCUGUCUCUGGACUCCGUACAAGACCUCCGGGUUGGGACACUAAUGGGUCCGUACGGAGUAGACCGAGCUGUUCAUUCCAUGGAGUUCACAGACUGUGAGAAUGGCCUGGGAAUAAAAGUGAUUGGAGGAGUGAAGGAGGUGACCGGAGAGGAGUUUGGAGUCUACGUCAAACGGAUUUUACCAGGUGGCCUUGCUUCAGCCGAUGGUAACCUGAUGCCAGGGGACCAGAUCUUGGAGGUGAAUGGGGACAGUCUAGUUGGAGUCACAAGUGAAAGAGCUGUGGACGUCUUGAGAGCAGCCUCUGCAACCAAUCACAUGCGCCUUCUUAUAGCCAGAGACGAGGAAGCAAAGAGGGAAUUUGCUGAGCUGAUGGAGAAAUAUGGAUCCAAUGGUAGCACGGGAUCAACACGCAACUCUCCCAUCCAGCAAGGAGGUCGCUACCUGGAUAGCACAUCAUCGGGUUCCUCGUCCCGCUCCCAGAGUCCUUUGCUGCUGAGUCCAGCAGGCUCUCAGAACAUGUACAACAACAGUGGGCCUAUGAUGCGCUCCCUCAGGUAA